UCAGUGGUGAGCUGGCGCUGGGUACCCCAUGUUCCCCAUGGAGCUGUGAGCAUCAGCUGUCCCUUGGAUGUGUUUCUACUGGGAUCCCGCUCAACUUGUGCCCCCCAGAUCCACUGCAAGAAGCUGGUAACUACUGGGAAGGCUGAGGAAGAAGCCCACGAAGGGCAGGUUUGCUCACCCUGCCUUUAACAUCUCGUUUCUCCAGGAGAAUUGAUUGCUGGAGAGGUAAAGCUGAUUGUAUGGACUGUGCAAGCUGGUGGACGAUGGUCCCCAUGGGCUGCACACAAAUGGAGCCCAGCAGAAUCAAGCAAGUUUUACCAGAGCUUCGAGUUAAGAAAAAAAAAAGCAAAAGAGAGAGGAAGAAAAAAAAAAAAGGAAAACACAAUCCAGACUCUGCCUUGGCCAAACCUGCCCCUUUUAAGGAAAGGAAAUUUCCCAGAGCCACCCUCGACAAACCUAAAGGCCUGAUCCUGCUCUCAGGAAUGUCAGUGCAAAUCUAGAGCAGCUCUGCUGGCUGCUGGGGGGUCAAGGCAGCCGUGUGUGCAUCCAGCUCCUGCUUUCCUCCCCCCAGAGAUGGUGCAGAGUUUGCACUACAACAGCCAGGGAGCAAACUCCAGGCUCAAAAGCAGUAACAUCAGAAUGGUCUGCAUGCCAGUUACAAGGAUUUAGCCUUUUUGCUGAGCCAUGUUCUGGAAGCCUGAGCCCUGUUUUGCUCUGUGAGCUGCGUGCAAUAAAACAGCUGCGUCCUUUGGCUGGAUGGCUGCUAUGGAGGGGCCACAUGUUUUGCUUAGGACAUGUCUGAAGUGUCUUCUUUGAGUUCAGACUUUGCUCAAGGGGCUGCCCAGAGCAGAGCACAGCAGAGCGAUGCCAGCAGCUUCAGUGGGGCUUAUUUUGGUAGCAGCCCCCUACCAACUUCUCCCAGGGAAGCAAAAGAAACUGGGAGCAAACUUGGAAGGGUCUGCCCCCGUUUAGGUCAAAAAUCUGCAAGGGAAAAGCUAAAGAGAAGAGUAAAAUGCUCACGUUCCCUUCUCAUUAACAUUAAAGGUCUGGAUGUAAACCAGAUGCAAAUGGGCUCUGCUGCAGAGGGUAUUCUGCCACAUUCUGGGGUCAGAUCUGACCACCCCCAGUUCCUGCUGACAGCAAUGUGGGCAUUCAGAUCCUCAUCCAACCGCUGUGCAGCACGAGAGCCAGGGACCACAGCAAUCAGCCUCCAAAAUGGGAACUGCCAGCAAAGGCCACGGCCCUGAGCUGCACUGCCCCUAAAGAGGAGGUUGGAAGCUGCAUUCAGAACCCACAUCAACAUCUGCUCGGCCCACUGAAAGCAUUGCUUUGCCCGAGAGCUGAAGAACAAGCGAAUGGGAAGGUUCAGAGCACAACCAAAGCACCCCAGCAUCCUAAAUGCAGUGCACAAGGGAAUGCAUUAAGGCACCCAGCACCUGAGAAAGCAUCUCUAGGAGCUCAACGCCAAGAAAUGGGCGGUGCCUGGAUGCCAGGCUCCAUCCGAAUGAGACGCCGAAGGCCGGGGCAGGCUGGCACAAAGGAGAGCUGGCAGGAAUUCCUGCACUCGGAGCUCCGAUAAACCCACCCUAAAGAGUUCUACCCCAUUCGGCCCCAAAUGGAGCCAGCACAGUGUGCGUGUGGGGAAGUGGGGGAAUAAUAAUAAUAAUAAUAAUAACAAAAAUUGGGGCAGAAAUAAAGCUGGGACCUUCCAGUGCGUCGAUGCGGGUUAAACAAAAGGCCUGGGGAUGUGGAUAGGGCUCUAUGCACCCCCCUCCUCCCCACGCCGUGUGCACCUUCCCGCCCGCACGCCCCCUCAUCCCGCCUCGUGUUUGGUGCAAAAAGGGCAAAAAAAGGGCAAAAAAAGGGCAAAAAAUGGGCAAAAAAGCCCAAAGCGACGCGUCCGCCAUGAGGGCAGCACAGCAGCAACCGCCUCCAUGGGGGCAGAUUGGGGGUAGUUUGUAUUUUAGGGCGUAUUUGGGGCCUUUUUGUUGCCGCCGCGAAGCACAUGGGUUGCGCCGAUGAUAAAAAGGGAGUCCCGGCGGGCCGGGAAGGGGGGCCAUGGGGCUGAGAGAGCUGCUGGGGAGAUGCCAAGAGCACGGAACAAAACACGUUUUCAUCUCGCCCCGCACCAGGGGCCGAGGGGCGGCCGUGCACCCCGCAGCCCUCCAGGGGAGAGCUUGCCAAGCCCUCCUUGGCACGGCUCCCCCGAACAAAGCCGUCACCCAUCCCCGAGCAGGCGCUGACAGUAAGCAAAGUGACAGGCGCAUCUCCCGCAUGUUAAUCCAAACGGCGAGCGGUGCCAGCAUCCCCCCCCUCCCCACCAUCACCACAACCCCCUCCCCUUUACCCCCACAUGCAUGCAUACCCCCGUCCACCCCACCCUUGGCCUCGUGCAGGGCCUUCCCUUUGGGCGGGUUUAAAUCAAAACCAAGCGGCCGAAGCUUCGGGGGGCUGAACGAGGCCGCUCGGUUCGGCGUUGGCGGUACCUGUUCCGUUCCCUCUUGUCUUCCUCUCUCUUUGGAUGCGUGACAAGAGCCAACUCUCCUCUGGUGGGCUCUGGGAGCCGCAGGGCUGUAACCCUUUGCAGGAAGUUGGCACAGCUCCCAGGAAUUAAAAUGGGAAGAGAUAAGCUCCAAGCCAGCAGGACGAUGCAUGGGGGGUGGGAGAUGAACGCAGCCCCAUCUCACCCACCCCGCUUCGGAACCCCAUCCAUGUAACACUGCUGAAUUAAUCCAGUCCAUAGUCCGGAGUCCCUCCAAGCUGCCAAGAUCAUCACAACAGGAAAGAAAGAAAACAUGAGAGGCAGAGCGAGGCAGAGUCCUCACAAUCGAGCAGCGAGAAGAGCAAGGAGAAAUUAACAUCCAAUUAGCGCCGUGUUUAACGAGGGAGACAGAGGCGGCUGUUGUUUUAUUGCCCUGUUCUUUUCAGGCACAUCUGACAGGCAGCGGGGAAGGCACCCCAGCUCCAAGUGACGUCAUCAGAUUUUAUUUUCUAUAUAUAUUUUCUCUCUUUUUUGAGAUGUUUUUUUUUUGCUUGUCUGUCUAUUUUUCCUCCCCCCCCCCAUCUUUGCUCUUCCAAGUUUGAAGUCAAGGUCUCAGCAAUGUGGCCAGAGCAAUGCAGGGCUUUGGGCUGAUGCCUCCAUCCUCCAUCCCCCCCCUUCUUCAUCCCCAGCCCUGCAAAACAAACACCAACCCCAACCCGAAGUCUUUGUUCUUCCAAACAAUAAAAAGAAAAGAAAAAAAAAGAGAGA
Molecule: non-coding RNA, 3250 nt
Organism: Coturnix japonica (Japanese quail)
Lineage: Eukaryota; Metazoa; Chordata; Aves; Galliformes; Phasianidae
Source: RefSeq, a predicted model, not a curated record